CAAGCCACACAGUGGUGAAAUGGUCCAUCUGUGAAUGUGAACCAGUGGAACCAGACAGUGCACGGUCUGGUCCACUCUGUCCUCCCUUGAACAACCUUACAAUCAAGAAGUUCAGACACCAGAACUUGUCAAUUAUAAGAUGGCCUUGCUUGUUACCUUAGACGCUCCAGGAACAUUUCUUCUGAAUAGUGUAUACGCACCUUCAAACAUGUUUUGUCGGAAGAAAACUGGUCAAUCAAUGGUGUGUACAAUAUUUUAUGUGCUGUUUAAUAUUCAUCCAAUUUGACUGAGCCAUAUUAGACCAAAAGUGUAGUGUGUGUGCACCUUUGACCAUACUUUUGCUUUUUUUUUCAUCAGCAUGUACAAUGAAACUUGUCAGGUGUCUUGCUGCAUACUUUAUGCAUAAUUUCCU
Long non-coding RNA from Pseudophryne corroboree (corroboree frog), 412 nucleotides. RefSeq lists it as uncharacterized. The record is from RefSeq and is a predicted model, not a curated record. NCBI's taxonomy places the organism in Eukaryota, Metazoa, Chordata, Amphibia, Anura, Myobatrachidae. The transcript is spliced from 3 exons.